RNAcentral lists this ribosomal RNA (293 nucleotides) under uncultured bacterium. Its description in RNAcentral is "partial 16S ribosomal RNA". It matches the Rfam family "Archaeal small subunit ribosomal RNA", at positions 455 to 747 of the family's 1478-position model. The record is from RNAcentral.
GUGCCAGCCGCCGCGGUAAUACCGGCAGCCCAAGUGAUGGCCGAUCUUAUUGGGCCUAAAGCGUCCGUAGCUGGCCGCGCAAGUCCAUCGGAAAAUCCACCCGCCCAACGGGUGGGCGUCCGGUGGAAACUGCGUGGCUUGGGACCGGAAGGCGCGACGGGUACGUCCGGGGUAGGAGUGAAAUCCCGUAAUCCUGGACGGACCGCCGAUGGCGAAAGCACGUCGCGAAGACGGAUCCGACAGUGAGGGACGAAAGCUAGGGUCUCGAACCGGAUUAGAAACCCGGGUAGUCC